UACGGAGGGUGCGAGCGUUAAUCGGAAUCACUGGGCGUAAAGCGCACGUAGGCGGCGCAUCAAGUCAGGCGUGAAAGCCCUCGGCUCAACC
This 91-nucleotide ribosomal RNA is filed under the name uncultured bacterium. RNAcentral's name for it is "partial 16S ribosomal RNA". It matches the Rfam family "Bacterial small subunit ribosomal RNA", at positions 524 to 614 of the family's 1533-position model. The record is from RNAcentral.